GGCUCAGAUUGAACGCUGGCGGCAGGCCUAACACAUGCAAGUCGAGCGAGAAAGGUCUUCGGACUGAGUACAGCGGCGGACGGGUGAGUAACGCGUAGGAAUCUACCUGGUAGGUGGGGGACAACAGUAGGGGAAACUCAUGCUAAUACCGCAUACGCCCUAGUGGGGGAAAGCGGGGGACCUUCGGGCCUCGCGCUAUCAGAUGAGCCUGCGUAGGAUUAGCUUGUUGGUGAGGUAAAGGCUCACCAAGGCGACGAUCCUUAGCUGGUCUGAGAGGAUGAUCAGCCACACUGGGACUGAGACACGGCCCAGACUCCUACGGGAGGCAGCAGUGGGGAAUAUUGCGCAAUGGGCGAAAGCCUGACGCAGCCAUGCCGCGUGCAGGAAGACGGCCUUCUGGGUUGUAAACUGCUUUUAUCUGGGGAUAAAAAGCCCAUGCGUGGGACAUUGAAGGUACCAGAUGAAUAAGCACCGGCUAACUACGUG
RNAcentral lists this ribosomal RNA (486 nucleotides) under uncultured bacterium. RNAcentral's name for it is "bacterial SSU rRNA". It matches the Rfam family "Bacterial small subunit ribosomal RNA", at positions 21 to 507 of the family's 1533-position model. The record is from RNAcentral.